This 253-nucleotide ribosomal RNA is filed under the name uncultured bacterium. RNAcentral's name for it is "partial 16S ribosomal RNA". It matches the Rfam family "Bacterial small subunit ribosomal RNA", at positions 524 to 776 of the family's 1533-position model. The record is from RNAcentral.
UACGGGGGGGGCAAGCGUUGUUCGGAAUUACUGGGCGUAAAGGGCUCGUAGGCGGCCCAAUAAGUCCGACGUGAAAUCCCCAGGCUUAACUUGGGAACUGCGUCGGAUACUGGUGGGCUUGAAUCCGGGAGAGGGAUGCGGAAUUCCAGGUGUAGCGGUGAAAUGCGUAGAUAUCUGGAGGAACACCGGUGGCGAAGGCGGCAUCCUGGACCGGCAUUGACGCUGAGGAGCGAAAGCGUGGGGAGCAAACAGG